AAAGGAAUUGACGGGGACCCGCACAAGCAGCGGAGCAUGUGGUUUAAUUCGAAGCAACGCGAAGAACCUUACCUGGAUUUGACAUCCCUCUGACCGUUUCUUAACCGAGACCUUUCCUUCGGGGACAGAGGAGACAGGUGGUGCAUGGUUGUCGUCAGCUCGUGUCGUGAGAUGUUGGGUUAAGUCCCGCAACGAGCGCAACCCUUGUCUUUAGUUGCUAGCAGGUAAAGCUGAGCACUCUAAAGAGACUGCCAAGGUAAACUUGGAGGAAGGUGGGGAUGACGUCAAAUCAUCAUGCCCCUUAUGUUCAGGGCUACACACGUGCUACAAUGGCCGAUACAACGGGCAGCUAAGGAGCAAUCCGGAGCAAAUCCUACAAAAUCGGUCCCAGUUCGGAUUGUGGGCUGCAAUUCGCCCACAUGAAGUCGGAGUUGCUAGUAAUCGUGAAUCAGAAUGUCGCGGUGAAUGCGUUCCCGGGUCUUGCACACACCGCCCGU
Molecule: ribosomal RNA, 497 nt
Filed under: uncultured bacterium
Lineage: Bacteria
Description: bacterial SSU rRNA
Rfam family: Bacterial small subunit ribosomal RNA
Source: RNAcentral